RNAcentral lists this ribosomal RNA (200 nucleotides) under uncultured bacterium. Its description in RNAcentral is "partial 16S ribosomal RNA". It matches the Rfam family "Bacterial small subunit ribosomal RNA", at positions 8 to 210 of the family's 1533-position model. The record is from RNAcentral.
AGAGUUUGAUCAUGGCUCAGGACGAACGCUGGCGGCGUGCUUAACACAUGCAAGUCGAGCGGUAAGGCCCUUCGGGGUACACGAGCGGCGAACGGGUGAGUAACACGUGGGUGAUCUGCCUCGUACUCUGGGAUAAGCCUGGGAAACUGGGUCUAAUACCGGAUAUGACCGCGCACUGCAUGGUGUGUGGUGGAAAGAUU